AGAGUUUGAUCAUGGCUCAGGAUGAACGCUGGCGGCGUGCCUAACACAUGCAAGUCGAGCGAUUCUCUUCGGAGAAGAGCGGCGGACGGGUGAGUAACGCGUGGGUAACCUGCCCUGUACACACGGAUAGCAUACCGAAAGGUAUGCUAAUACGAGAUAAUAUGCUUUUAUCGCAUGGUAGAAGUAUCAAAGCUCCGGCGGUACAGGAUGGACCCGCGUCUGAUUAGCUAGUUGGUAAGGUAACGGCUUACCAAGGCGACGAUCAGUAGCCGACCUGAGAGGGUGAUCGGCCACAUUGGAACUGAGACACGGUCCAAACUCCUACGGGAGGCAGCAGUGGGGAAUAUUGCACAAUGGGCGAAAGCCUGAUGCAGCAACGCCGCGUGAGCGAUGAAGGCCUUCGGGUCGUAAAGCUCUGUCCUCAAGGAAGAUAAUGACGGUACUUGAGGAGGAAGCCCCGGCUAACUACGUGCCAGCAGCCGCGGUAAUACGUAGGGGGCUAGCGUUAUCCGGAAUUACUGGGCGUAAAGGGUGCGUAGGUGGUUUCUUAAGUCAGAGGUGAAAGGCUACGGCUCAACCGUAGUAAGCCUUUGAAACUGGGAAACUUGAGUGCAGGAGAGGAGAGUGGAAUUCCUAGUGUAGCGGUGAAAUGCGUAGAUAUUAGGAGGAACACCAGUUGCGAAGGCGGCUCUCUGGACUGUAACUGACACUGAGGCACGAAAGCGUGGGGAGCAAACAGGAUUAGAUACCCUGGUAGUCCACGCCGUAAACGAUGAGUACUAGCUGUCGGAGGUUACCCCCUUCGGUGGCGCAGCUAACGCAUUAAGUACUCCGCCUGGGAAGUACGCUCGCAAGAGUGAAACUCAAAUGAAUUGACGG
RNAcentral lists this ribosomal RNA (879 nucleotides) under uncultured bacterium. RNAcentral's name for it is "bacterial SSU rRNA". It matches the Rfam family "Bacterial small subunit ribosomal RNA", at positions 8 to 916 of the family's 1533-position model. The record is from RNAcentral.